This 680-nucleotide ribosomal RNA is filed under the name uncultured bacterium. RNAcentral's name for it is "bacterial SSU rRNA". It matches the Rfam family "Bacterial small subunit ribosomal RNA", at positions 94 to 764 of the family's 1533-position model. The record is from RNAcentral.
AGUGGCGGACGGGUGAGUAAUGUCUGGGAAACUGCCUGAUGGAGGGGGAUAACUACUGGAAACGGUAGCUAAUACCGCAUAACGUCGCAAGGCCAAAGAGGGGGACCUUCGGGCCUCUUGCCAUCGGAUGUGCCCAGAUGGGAUUAGCUAGUAGGUGGGGUAACGGCUCACCUAGGCGACGAUCCCUAGCUGGUCUGAGAGGAUGACCAGCCACACUGGAACUGAGACACGGUCCAGACUCCUACGGGAGGCAGCAGUGGGGAAUAUUGCACAAUGGGCGCAAGCCUGAUGCAGCCAUGCCGCGUGUAUGAAGAAGGCCUUCGGGUUGUAAGGUACUUUCAGCGGGGAGGAAGGGAGUAAAGUUAAUACCUUUGCUCAUUGACGUUACCCGCAGAAGAAGCACCGGCUAACUCCGUGCCAGCAGCCGCGGUAAUACGGAGGGUGCAAGCGUUAAUCGGAAUUACUGGGCGUAAAGCGCACGCAGGCGGUUUGUUAAGUCAGAUGAGAAAUCUCCGCGCUCAGACUGUGAACUGCAUCUGAUACUGGCGAGCUCGAGUCAUCGUAAAAGGGAGGUACAAUUCACGAGUGUGGCUGUAAAGAAGCAGUAGUAGAUCGGGGAGGAGCGCCAGGUGCGGGACGCAUCCCCAGCACUACGCUGACGCUCAGGUCCUAGUCGGUCG